CCCUUAGAUGUUCUGGGCUGCACGCGCGCUACACUGAUUCAUGCAACGAGUUUUGUCCUUGGCUGAAAGGCCUGGGUAAUCUUUGAACGUGAAUCGUGCUGGGGAUAGAUGAUUGCAAUUAUUCAUCUUCAACGAGGAAUUCCUAGUAAACGCAAGUCAUCAGCUUGCAUUGAUUACGUCCCUGCCCUUUGUACACACCGCCCGUCGCACCUACCGAUUGAAUGGUCCGGUGAAAUCUUCGGAUCUGAGAGAUGUUGGAUUAAUUUCUGACGCCUUUUGGAAAAGUCGCUUAAACCUUAUCAUUUAGAGGAAGGUGAAGUCGUAACA
Molecule: ribosomal RNA, 327 nt
Filed under: uncultured eukaryote
Lineage: Eukaryota
Description: partial 18S ribosomal RNA
Rfam family: Eukaryotic small subunit ribosomal RNA
Source: RNAcentral